AACGUAGGGGGCGAGCGUUGUCCGGAAUUACUGGGCGUAAAGGGCGUGUAGGCGGCCAAUUAAGUCAUUCGUGAAACCUGCCGGCUUAACCGGUAGCUUGCGAAAGAAACUGUUUGGCUUGAGUGCAGUAGAGGGGAGUGGAAUUCCCAGUGUAGCGGUGAAAUGCGUAGAUAUUGGGAGGAACACCAGUGGCGAAAGCGGCUCCCUGGCCUGUAACUGACGCUGAGGCGCGAAAGCGUGGGUAGCAAACAGGAUUAGAUACCCUGGUAGUCCACGCCGUAAACGAUGGGUGCUAGGUGUUGGGGGUAUCGACCCCCCCAGUGCCGCAGUUAACGCACUAAGCACCCCGCCUGGGGAGUACGGCCGCAAGGCUGAA
Molecule: ribosomal RNA, 376 nt
Filed under: uncultured bacterium
Lineage: Bacteria
Description: bacterial SSU rRNA
Rfam family: Bacterial small subunit ribosomal RNA
Source: RNAcentral